AAAAAUCAGAUUUUUUGGCCUCACCCAACCCAAACCCUAAUCUCCUCUCCUCUCUCUCUCUCUCCACUCCUCUCUGCUGCCGCGGAAGUCGCCACCGACGGCGUCCAACCUCCAAACAGCCCCAAAAUUUCACCAUGUAACCUCCAAAACCUCCUCUUUUCAUAUCUUCAAACUAAAUCCUUCGAAAACCCCUCAAACUCUACGAAUUUCAGAUCUAGGAAACCCUAGCAGCCACCCUUUUGCUCAAAUUCGUGAAGCUCCGGUCACCUUCGCCCCAUUACACAUACAUGAACGGAUUUAGCUCCACGAUACCUACCAUUUCCCCUUGCUCUUCACCAAAACGCCAUCCGAAUCCCGGUGACCACCGCCCGCCGCCACCACUGCCGCUGCUCACUUUUCUUUUCCUUCUUAUUUUCUUCUUCCCUUCUGCCCCUCUUGCCUAGACACAACUCAAGCGAGCUUUUCACGCUCGCACGAUACCGAGAUAGAAACUCGUUCUCCGGACCUUUAGUUUUGGUAUCUGCCAAUAUGAAAAGUUUGCUUCGUGGUCGAUUUGUCGUUGCCCGUUAUCCCCGACACAUCCUCGCUGCUCGAGUUAGCAUCGAAUCCCCUAUUUUGGUAAAUUCCAUUUUUCCCUUUUCCAUUUCUGUUUUUUGCUUCCGUAAUUAGGUUUGGUUUGGUUUAGUUUUUUAUUUCUUAUUAGUAGCUAAUCUAUUGCUCAUUUCGAUUGUUAUUAUAGUUCUUAGUUUAAGUCAUAGUUGUUUAAUAAAAUAGUUAGUUUGUAUGUGAUAUGCUAAGCACAUGGUUUCAAUUAGUUAGUUUGGAUAAUAUACUUGUUUUUAUUUGAUUCUGAGUUUCUCUUAGUUGAUUUAUAGUUCAAUUUCUAAGUCUAGUUAUGUGUUUUUCUAUCUUAGUUUGGUUUGAAUCACAUAGGUUGGUACUAAUAUUGUAAAAGCUGAAGUUUAGAUUAUUUUAUUAUAAAAUAGGGUACUAGUAGCCUACGUUUUACUAGUUGGGUGGCUGAAAUUAUAUUUUUUCUCCUUGCUUCUGCGAUAGCAGAUUUUUAGGUUGUCCUUUCACCUUUUGGACAGCCUUUGAACAAUGUUUAGCACACAAAGUCAGCCCUUUUGGACAGGCUUUUGGUGAACAAAAAUCUGUCCAAAAAGUGACUUUAUUUGCCUAUUUAAGGGGAUGCUCUUUCCUCACUUCAGAAACUGGAAUGACUCCAACUGAAAACACAAAAAACUUGAGAGAAAAAGAUGGCUGAACAUAUAACAACAAAGCUAAAGAACAGAGAGUUUCUUUGGAGGGAUAAACUUUGAGAGCAAAAAUCCUCUAAAAAAUUGAGAGUCUUUCAAGGUUCUUUGGUUUUCUUUUGAGAUUCUUGUCUAUUCAACUGUGGCUGGUUUAUUCCUGGGUCAUUAUCGAGGUUUCAGGUUGUUGAGUUGUUGUUCGUUCUUGCUGGGAGUGCUGUCCAUUUUUCCUUUUCAAGCAAGUUUUUUCACUGCUUCCAGUUUCUGCAUUUAGGUACUCUUCUUAUUUUUCUUUCUUAAUGUAAUUUGAUUUGGCUUGGAAUGAAGGCAUGAAGGUGUUGAUGUGCUAUAACUGUGUCAUUACGUUGUGUGAUUUCUGCCCACAAGAGGAGUGAAUAAAUGUUUAACUUCACGGGCUAGAGUUCCACUCGUUAUUUUAGAUUAUCGAACUGUCGUGAUCCAUUCUUAGUGGUUAUAAUACAUGAAUGAUUUGAGUUAUUGUAGUAUGUGACGAAAGAAGUAGAAAAAUAUAGUUUUAAGUUCAUACCUGUCAAUUUUUAGUGUAGUUGCAACAGUCCCUAUUAAGAAAAAGAAUUAGUUUUACUUCACUAAAAGUUCUUGUAAUAAUCUGUCACAUUGAAGUUUACUUAAAUAUUUCCUUCACGUAUUGUCAUUGUCCUUUGCUGAGAUUCAUAGCUACAUGAUUUCAUGGAAGUUGGUGAUACAUUCUAAUACAAUCCUUGUUUAGCUUUUUUCUACUUUAAAUUUCUUUAAUAUGAUUAAUAUAAAACUGUUGCAUUUUUAUGCAAUUUUCAUUCA
This 2072-nucleotide long non-coding RNA is filed under the name Nicotiana tabacum (common tobacco). RNAcentral describes it as "long non-coding RNA (NTAB_LNC009758)". The record is from RNAcentral. Lineage: Eukaryota; Viridiplantae; Streptophyta; Magnoliopsida; Solanales; Solanaceae.